UUUAAAUGUAAAAUAAAUAUACUAAAGUAGUAAUAGUUAUGUUCUUGAAAUUUAAAGAUUUUGGCGGUAUUUUAGUCUAUUUAGAGGAGCCUGUUCUGUAAUUGAUGAUCCACGAUUAAUUUUACUUAAUUUCUAUAAAUUUGUAUACCGUCGUUAUAAGAAGAUUUUAAAAGAAUAUAAAUUUUUAAUAUUUUAUAUAAAAAAAUAUAUCAGAUCAAGGUGCAGUUUAUAAUUAAGGAGAAAUGGGCUACAAUAAAUUUAUUUAUACGGAUUAAAAUAAGAAUAGGAUUUUAUGAAGGUGGAUUUAAUAGUAAUAGGGUUUAUUUAAAUUUUAUGAUUUUAGCUCUAAAAUAUG
This 355-nucleotide ribosomal RNA is filed under the name Carabus roborowskii sanggarparensis. Its description in RNAcentral is "partial 12S ribosomal RNA". Lineage: Eukaryota; Metazoa; Arthropoda; Insecta; Coleoptera; Carabidae. The record is from RNAcentral.